AAAUUUGUCUUAAAUUCUUCAUUCCUGAGAUAUGGUAGCUCAAACAUCGCUUACCGCGACUGAUUACACGAGGCCCUGUUCUCCAGGAAGAUCUGUCAGAGUCUUUUAAACUGUAGAUUCUUACUAUCAAAAAACUGAAGCUUUUUUUACCAGUAACUGUCCAUUGUGUAA
Amphimedon queenslandica is the source of this 171-nucleotide long non-coding RNA. RefSeq lists it as uncharacterized. Lineage: Eukaryota; Metazoa; Porifera; Demospongiae; Haplosclerida; Niphatidae. The record is from RefSeq and is a predicted model, not a curated record. The transcript is spliced from 2 exons.